ACUCUUGGGGAGCCAGUGACAAAUUGAGGUUUUUAGAUCCAUAAUUCUCAAGUGCCUUUGGUGUUUUUGGAUUCUUAUUAACACCUUGAUGACCUCUGGUACGCGAAGGUUCUUGUUAGGCAAUGGGAAAGCUCAUCUUGUACAGUGGCCUGUACAGUAAGUUGUUUAUAUAGUUAUUCUUCGACCUUGGUAGUACGUUUCUCACUACUACUUAAUGAAGUUGUUUAAGUAUGAUACCUGGGCUUAACUUUAAGUUCCCGAGGGGUAAUAUGUUUUUGGGUUGAUGAGCCCUUUUGUUCUUGUUGACUAAUUGGGGAAACAUUUCUGAUAUUUAGGCAUGACUUCAUU
Molecule: long non-coding RNA, 348 nt
Filed under: Citrus sinensis (sweet orange)
Lineage: Eukaryota; Viridiplantae; Streptophyta; Magnoliopsida; Sapindales; Rutaceae
Description: long non-coding RNA (CSIN_LNC001577)
Source: RNAcentral